ACAGCAGCAGCCGCGGGAAUACGAGGGGUGCAAGCGUUGUCCGGAAUUAUUGGGCGUAAAGGGCUCGCAGGCGGUUUCUUAAGUCUGAUGUGAAAGCCCCCGGCUCAACCGGGGAGGGUCAUUGGAAACUGGGAAACUUGAGUGCAGAAGGGGAGAGUGGAAUUCCAUGUGUAGCGGUGAAAUGCGUAGAUAUAUGGAGGAACACCGGUGGCGAAAGCGGCUCUCUGGUCUGUCACUGACGCUGAGGCUCGAAAGCAUGGGUAGCGAACAGGAUUAGAUACCCCGGUAGUCCCUGUCUCUUAUAU
This 305-nucleotide ribosomal RNA is filed under the name uncultured bacterium. RNAcentral's name for it is "partial 16S ribosomal RNA". It matches the Rfam family "Bacterial small subunit ribosomal RNA", at positions 505 to 809 of the family's 1533-position model. The record is from RNAcentral.